UUUGCUACUUUGCGACUACCAGUGCUGUUAGCCACAGAAUAAUGACAUUAGCCUACACAGCAGUAAUGUACUAUUUAGCGUAAGGCAUCACAUUUUCACGGCAUGAUCUCUAAUGUCAGUUCUAGAUUAGAGGCUGAAGUAGCCUGCUAGCGAGAGACUUCUGUAAUAUCAAUAAAAAUUGACCUACAUAACGAAGUUUGUUCACUGCUGGCAACUAUGAGAGAGAACUGAGCAGUCACAUCAACACCAAUGAAGGGAAAGCCCUCUAGUAUUAACUACUCCAGAAGUGUCCAGCAUUGUGGACAGUGGGACAGACAGAUGAGCAUCUUGGCGCAAUUGCAGAAGCCCCUGAAAUUGAGAACCUUGAACAGAGGAUCAGCUUUCCAGGAGACUGCACAUUUAGAAUGAUGGCCCAUGUUGCUUCAAAGGCACCAUACAAAAAGGAAGGGUUCAUGUG
Alosa alosa (allis shad) is the source of this 457-nucleotide long non-coding RNA. RefSeq lists it as uncharacterized. NCBI's taxonomy places the organism in Eukaryota, Metazoa, Chordata, Actinopteri, Clupeiformes, Clupeidae. The transcript is spliced from 4 exons. The record is from RefSeq and is a predicted model, not a curated record.